UUAAGCGACCAAGCGUACACGGUGGAUGCCCUGGCAGUCAGAGGCGAUGAAGGACGUGCUAAUCUGCGAAAAGCGCCGGUAAGGUGAUAUGAACCGUUAUAACCGGCGAUGUCCGAAUGGGGAAACCCAGUGUGAUUCGUCACACUAUCAUUAACUGAAUCCAUAGGUUAAUGAGGCGAACCGGGGGAACUGAAACAUCUAAGUACCCCGAGGAAAAGAAAUCAACCGAGAUUCCCCCAGUAGCGGCGAGCGAACGGGGAGCAGCCCAGAGCCUGAAUCAGCAUGUGUGUUAGUGGAAGCGUCUGGAAAGGCGCGCGAUACAGGGUGACAGCCCCGUACACAAAAGCGCAUGUGCUGUGAGCUCGAUGAGUAGGGCGGGACACGUGGUAUCCUGUCUGAAUAUGGGGGGACCAUCCUCCAAGGCUAAAUACUCCUGACUGACCGAUAGUGAACCAGUACCGUGAGGGAAAGGCGAAAAGAACCCCGGCGAGGGGAGUGAAACAGAACCUGAAACCGUGUACGUACAAGCAGUGGGAGCACAGGUUUACCUGUGUGACUGCGUACCUUUUGUAUAAUGGGUCAGCGACUUAUAUUCUGUAGCAAGGUUAACCGAAUAGGGGAGCCGGAGGGAAACCGAGUCUUAAUUGGGCGUUAAGUUGCAGGGUAUAGACCCGAAACCCGGUGAUCUAGCCAUGGGCAGGUUGAAGGUUGGGUAACACUAACUGGAGGACCGAACCGACUAAUGUUGAAAAAUUAGCGGAUGACCUGUGGCUGGGGGUGAAAGGCCAAUCAAACCGGGAGAUAGCUGGUUCUCCCCGAAAGCUAUUUAGGUAGCGCCUCGUGAAUUCAUCUCCGGGGGUAGAGCACUGUUUCGGCCAGGGGGCCAUCCCGGCUUACCAACCCGAUGCAAACUGCGAAUACCGGAGAAUGUUAUCACGGGAGACACACGGCGGGUGCUAACGUCCGUCGUGAAGAGGGAAACAACCCAGACCGCCAGCUAAGGUCCCAAAGUCAUGGUUAAGUGGGAAACGAUGUGGGAAGGCCCAGACAGCCAGGAUGUUGGCUUAGAAGCAGCCAUCAUUUAAAGAAAGCGUAAUAGCUCACUGGUCGAGUCGGCCUGCGCGGAAGAUGUAACGGGGCUAAACCAUGCACCGAAGCUGCGGCAGCGAACGUAUCACUUAAAGCGAUUCAGCGGAUGACGAUUGACGGAGCGAAGCGACGUCAAAGCGUUUUACAAAGUCGAGUCGGUUUAAGGAUACGUUCGUUGGGUAGGGGAGCGUUCUGUAAGCCUGCGAAGGUGGCCUGUGAGGGUUGCUGGAGGUAUCAGAAGUGCGAAUGCUGACAUAAGUAACGAUAAUGCGGGUGAAAAACCCGCACGCCGGAAGACCAAGGGUUCCUGUCCAACGUUAAUCGGGGCAGGGUGAGUCGACCCCUAAGGCGAGGCCGAAAGGCGUAGUCGAUGGGAAACGGGUUAAUAUUCCCGUACCUGGUGUUACUGCGAAGGGGGGACGGAGAAGGCUAUGUUGGCCGGGCGACGGUUGUCCCGGUUUAAGCGUGCAGGUGUGUGUUCCAGGAAAAUCCGGUUCACUUUAACACUGAGGCGUGACGACGAGGCACUACGGUGCUGAAGCAACAAAUGCCCUGCUUCCAGGAAAAGCCUCUAAGCCUCAGGUAACAUCAGAUCGUACCCGAAACCGACACAGGUGGUCAGGUAGAGAAUACCAAGGCGCUUGAGAGAACCCGGGUGAAGGAACUAGGCAAAAUGGUGCCGUAACUUCGGGAGAAGGCACGCUGACAUGUAGGUGAAGCGGUUUACCCGUGGAGCUGAAGUCAGUCGAAGAUACCAGCUGGCUGCAACUGUUUAUUAAAAACACAGCACUGUGCAAACACGAAAGUGGACGUAUACGGUGUGACGCCUGCCCGGUGCCGGAAGGUUAAUUGAUGGGGUCAGCGCAAGCGAAGCUCCUGAUCGAAGCCCCGGUAAACGGCGGCCGUAACUAUAACGGUCCUAAGGUAGCGAAAUUCCUUGUCGGGUAAGUUCCGACCUGCACGAAUGGCGUAAUGAUGGCCAGGCUGUCUCCACCCGGGACUCAGUGAAAUUGAACUCGCUGUGAAGAUGCAGUGUACCCGCGGCAAGACGGAAAGACCCCGUGAACCUUUACUAUAGCUUGACACUGAACACUGGUCCUUGAUGUGCAGGAUAGGUGGGAGGCUUUGAAGUGUGGACGCCAGUCUGCAUGGAGCCGUCCUUGAAAUACCACCCUUUAAUGGCUGGUGUUCUAACGUAGACCCGUGAACCGGGUUGCGGACAGUGUCUGGUGGGUAGUUUGACUGGGGCGGUCUCCUCCUAAAGCGUAACGGAGGAGCACGAAGGUUGGCUAAUCCUGGUCGGACAUCAGGAGGUUAGUGCAAUGGCAUAAGCCAGCUUGACUGCGAGCGUGACGGCGCGAGCAGGUGCGAAAGCAGGUCAUAGUGAUCCGGUGGUUCUGAAUGGAAGGGCCAUCGCUCAACGGAUAAAAGGUACUCCGGGGAUAACAGGCUGAUACCGCCCAAGAGUUCAUAUCGACGGCGGUGUUUGGCACCUCGAUGUCGGCUCAUCACAUCCUGGGGCUGAAGUAGGUCCCAAGGGUAUGGCUGUUCGCCAUUUAAAGUGGUACGCGAGCUGGGUUUAGAACGUCGUGAGACAGUUCGGUCCCUAUCUGCCGUGGGCGCUGGAGAACUGAGGGGGGCUGCUCCUAGUACGAGAGGACCGGAGUGGACGCAUCACUGGUGUUCGGGUUGUCAUGCCAAUGGCACUGCCCGGUAGCUAAAUGCGGAAGAGAUAAGUGCUGAAAGCAUCUAAGCACGAAACUUGCCCCGAGAUGAGUUCUCCCUGAGACUACAAGUCUCCUGAAGGAACGUUGAAGACGACGACGUUGAUAGGCCGGGUGUGUAAGCGCAGCGAUGCGUUGAGCUAACCGGUACUAAUGAACCGUGAGGCUUAACCUU
Molecule: ribosomal RNA, 2988 nt
Filed under: Salmonella enterica
Lineage: Bacteria; Pseudomonadati; Pseudomonadota; Gammaproteobacteria; Enterobacterales; Enterobacteriaceae
Description: bacterial LSU rRNA
Rfam family: Bacterial large subunit ribosomal RNA
Source: RNAcentral